GUUUGAUCCUGGCUCAGGAUGAACGCUAGCGGCAGGCUUAACACAUGCAAGUCGAGGGGUAAGGCUUUCUUCGGAAAGUACACGACCGGCGCACGGGUGAGUAACGCGUAUGCAACCUGCCUCUUACAGGAGGAUAGCCCGAGGAAACUCGGAUCAAUACUCCAUAGUCCAUAAAUAUCGCAUGAUAUUAAUGGUAAAGCUCCGGCGGUAAGAGAUGGGCAUGCGUGACAUUAGCUAGUUGGUGAGGUAACGGCUCACCAAGGCGRCGAUGUCUAGGGGUUCUGAAAGGAUGAUCCCCCACACUGGKACUGAGACASGGACCAGACUCCUGACGGGAGGCAGCAGUGAGGAAUAUUGCGCAAUGGAGGCAACUCUGACGCAGCCAUGCCGCGUGCAGGGAAGACGGCCCUACGGGUUGUAAACUGCUUUUUUCAGCUAAGAAUUGUUGGUACGUGUACUGGGUUUGACUAGCUUUAGAAUAAGCAUCGGCUAACUCCGKGCCAGCAGCCGCGGUAAUACGGAGGAUGCAAGCGUUAUCCGGAUUCACUAGGUUUAAAGGGUGCGUAGGCGGAUUGAUUAGUCAGKGGKGAAAUCUUGCGGCUUAACCSUAAAAUUGCCAUUGAUACUGUCAAUCUUGAGUUCGGCUGAGGUAAGCGGAAUGAGUAAUGUAGCGGUGAAAUCCUUAGAUAUUACUCAGAACACCAAUUGCGAAGGCAGCUUACUAGACCGACACUGACGCUGAGGCACGAAACCGUGGGGAGCCAACAGGAUUAGAUACCCUGGUAGUCCACGCCGUAAACGUUGAUUACUCGUUGUUGGCAAUACAUCGUCASCGACUGAGCGAAAGCAUUAAGUAAUCCACCUGGGGAGUACGUCAGCAAUGAUGAAACUCAAAGGAAUUGACGGGGGGCCCCACAAGCGGAGGAACAUGUGGUUUAAUUCGAUGAUACGCGAGGAACCUUACCUGGGCUUAAAUGUAGAGUGCAUGAAGUGGAAACAUUUCUUYCUUCGGGACUCUUUASAAGGUGCUGCAUGGUUGUCGUCAGCUCGUGCCGUGAGGUGUCGGGUUAAGUCCCAUAACGAGCGCAACCCUCAUCGUCAGUUACCAUCACUUCGGGUGGGGACUCUGGCGAAACUGCSGGUGCAAACCGCGAGGAAGGUGAGGAUGACGUCAAAUCAGCACGGCCCUUAUGUCCAGGGCUACACACGUGUUACAAUGGCCGGUACAGUGGGCAGCUACACAGCGAUGUGAUGCUAAUCUCCAAAACCGGUCCUAGUUCGGAUCGGAGUCUGCAACUCGACUCCGUGAAGCUGGAUYCGCUAGUAAUCGCACAUCAGCCAUGGUGCGGUGAAUACGUUCCCGGGCCUUGUACACACCGCCCGUCAAGCCAUGGAAGCUGGGGGUACCUGAAGUUCGUGAUCUACGGGAAGCGGCCUAGGGUAAAACUGGUAACUGGGGCUAAGUCGUAACAAGGUAGCCG
Molecule: ribosomal RNA, 1481 nt
Filed under: uncultured bacterium
Lineage: Bacteria
Description: bacterial SSU rRNA
Rfam family: Bacterial small subunit ribosomal RNA
Source: RNAcentral